GUCCAGUUCAGCUGCUCCACUAACCAGUGCUAACGCGCGUAAGACGGUCGGUCUGAGAUUAGCGAGAAUGCAAGAGCCAGGAGGCAAUCACUAAUCACAUCACAAAAUUUCUCAUUUCCAUUUGUUUAUCACCCAACAAUAAUAAGCAAUUCUCGUGGCAUAAACCACCAGAGGACGGAUUACACAUACAAAAUUUGCAGAUACAUCUCUGUAUGUGUACGAACAAGAAGUGGAGGAAUCGGACAGCGUGUAUAAAGGAGUAAUUAAUAAGAGAAUGCCCCUAACAAUUAGUUAGGGCCCCAGCAGACGAGGUGGUACGCCUUGUGCAUCUUCUCCUCCUCCGAUCGCCUGGGCCUGGCGGCCCUACCGGCGGCCGCGGCGCUGCCACUGCCACCCGCGGUUUGGGACGACGACAACGACAACGGGACGGCGCGGCCGGCGACGACCUUAUUGGCGGCGGCCGCGCGGUUGUAGAGGGAGCGGAGCGCGUAGUCCCACCGGCACAGCCCCGCCUGGUCCUUGAGCGCCUCCACCGCGCUCAUGCUCGCCGCCACCACGAACGACGACGCCUUCUUGGUCAUGGACGACGAUGCGCUCAUCUUCUCUGCUAGCUCAGAGCUUGAUGAUAAUCGGCUAUCCCUCUCGCGCGCGCACCGGCUAGGCUAUAAACACUUUCUUGCUUCUGGAUCUUGGUCUGUUUGCGUUGACGCUUUGCACUGCGGAGAUGACGAGGGAAGGGGAGGGGACUUAUAUAUGCCCGGCAGCAGGCCGGUAGCCGAUGCAGUUGGCGGCAGCGUGGAAGGAGUGGACGGACGCGGCGGGAGAGGAAAACAGGGGGCUCUGGUUGCUGGUUUC
RNAcentral lists this unclassified non-coding RNA (855 nucleotides) under Zea mays. RNAcentral describes it as "misc RNA Zm00001eb225430". The record is from RNAcentral. Lineage: Eukaryota; Viridiplantae; Streptophyta; Magnoliopsida; Poales; Poaceae.